CGGGAAGUAGCUCAGCUUGGUAGAGCACAUGGUUUGGGACCAUGGGGUCGCAGGUCAAAUCCUGUCUUCCCGA
RNAcentral lists this transfer RNA (73 nucleotides) under Geobacillus thermoleovorans. RNAcentral describes it as "tRNA-Pro". It matches the Rfam family "tRNA". From Rfam's summary of the family: Transfer RNA (tRNA) molecules are approximately 80 nucleotides in length. Their secondary structure includes four short double-helical elements and three loops (D, anti-codon, and T loops). The record is from RNAcentral. Lineage: Bacteria; Bacillati; Bacillota; Bacilli; Caryophanales; Anoxybacillaceae.